CGUGAGAAGAUAAAGACAAGUGGUUACACAUUUGAAUUCAAAUCAAAUUUGAAUUCAAAUGCAAACCAACUCAUCCCUAUCCACUUGGGUGUGAGAAGAGAAGGUGUGAGGCUGCAUUGUGCAUGGAAAGGUUUCACGAGAAACUCUUUCUCGUGUGAGAUAUGGGGUGCUAAAGUGGAUAGGGUCAUGAAGGCGCAAGAGAUAAGUUAUCCAUUCAAAUUCAAACA
This 227-nucleotide long non-coding RNA is filed under the name Elaeis guineensis (African oil palm). Its description in RNAcentral is "long non-coding RNA (EGUI_LNC058798)". Lineage: Eukaryota; Viridiplantae; Streptophyta; Magnoliopsida; Arecales; Arecaceae. The record is from RNAcentral.